This is a long non-coding RNA of Mauremys reevesii (Reeves's turtle), 488 nucleotides long. RefSeq lists it as uncharacterized. The record is from RefSeq and is a predicted model, not a curated record. NCBI's taxonomy places the organism in Eukaryota, Metazoa, Chordata, Testudines, Geoemydidae. The transcript has 3 exons.
CUGGAUUUGAAGCAAUGACUUACAGAAAUGGUGCACAACUUUGUGUUGGGCCUUUGCACAGGGGUGAAUUUCACCCAGAGUAAGAAUUAACCAUGUGAGGCUUGGAGGAAGUAACUAGGAUGAAAGUCCUGGCUCCAGACAGGAGUGGAGAUCAAUGCGACGUCUGUGUGGAAAUGACUCCAAUCCCUUCUGACUACUCCAUCAGUGCCUGUUACUCCGAGACAGUCUGCCUGUGACUGAGACUGCAGCUGCACCUUACUGCAGGGACCCAGGAAGAGAAGAAACACAUGGCUGCAGGAGCACUGCAUAUUGCAUAACAGUGAAGAGCCUCUGCUAAGCCCUGAUGGUAUUGCCAAGGUGGCAGCCCUCAUUUACAUGGCACUUCCCAUAAUGCUCUCUGUGAUUUUCUGUCAACCUUCGGCAAUUCUCCCUCACUCAAAUAGGAGUGGUGCUGAAGUAACAACCUCCAAUGUCACGGUGGCCUAGGA